UUUCGUUACAACCCAAUCGUUAAGAGACGUUUGAGCAAACGACGAGAAAGAAGACGGGAGAUAUUUUGUGUUAUUAAUUUAUUUUCGACUAGGAAAUUGUUCCAAGGAGAAAUAAAAGAAAAGUUCUCGGCCAUUCAAAGAUUAUUUUGAUGACUUCUGGAUAUUUCAGUAUAAAGUUCUUACUAUCCAGAACGGAGUUAGAUGAAAGACGACAGCAUAUAUGGAAUCCUUAGAGGCAGGAGGAUGCCUCUAAGGAUUACCUGUACAUGAAAUUCCGCUGCAAACCGGAAGUCACGUUAUUUCGAUUCAAAAGUCUUCCCCCGAAAGCAGUUAUAGAUGAUCGGCACGACUCUAUUGUUAAAAGAAAAGAAUGACGUACGACGGCACUGCUAAUUGCAGUCGUCUUCGGUUCCUACAGAACUGAAAAGAGAAGAAACGACAAUGAAUAGCUUUAACACGCAACACUUCGCUCGUUAUUUCUCACGUCUUUCUGUUGGCUUUCCAGUUGAGAAAAGUCGAGGAUACAUUUAUUUUACACUCUUACUGAUAUAUUACUGGUACCUCACAAUUCUUUGCGUAUUGGAACACAGAGUGACGAUACUGUUGUACUUUUUCCGUACGACAAAGUGAACGGAAGUUUAUGAAAUUCUCAUGGAGA
Centruroides sculpturatus (bark scorpion) is the source of this 658-nucleotide long non-coding RNA. RefSeq lists it as uncharacterized. The record is from RefSeq and is a predicted model, not a curated record. The transcript is spliced from 3 exons. Lineage: Eukaryota; Metazoa; Arthropoda; Arachnida; Scorpiones; Buthidae.